This 253-nucleotide ribosomal RNA is filed under the name uncultured bacterium. RNAcentral's name for it is "partial 16S ribosomal RNA". It matches the Rfam family "Bacterial small subunit ribosomal RNA", at positions 524 to 776 of the family's 1533-position model. The record is from RNAcentral.
CACGUAGGGUGCGAGCGUUGUCCGGAAUUAUUGGGCGUAAAGAGCUCGUAGGCGGUCUGUUGCGUCUGCUGUGAAAACCCGGGGCUUAACCCCUGGCUUGCAGUGGAUACGGACAGACUAGAGGUAGGUAGGGGAGAAUGGAAUUCCCGGUGUAGCGGUGAAAUGCGCAGAUAUCGGGAGGAACACCGGUGGCGAAGGCGGUUCUCUGGGCCUUACCUGACGCUGAGGAGCGAAAGCGUGGGGAGCGGACAGG